This 70-nucleotide transfer RNA is filed under the name Schistosoma mansoni. The record is from RNAcentral. Lineage: Eukaryota; Metazoa; Platyhelminthes; Trematoda; Strigeidida; Schistosomatidae.
CAAGUAGCUGAAUGGAUAACGCGUUGGUGUUUCAAGCGAAAGGUACUGGGUUCGAGUCCCAGAGUGAACA